CUUGAACGCUGGCGGCAGGCCUAACACAUGCAAGUCGAGCGGAUGAAGGGAGCUUGCUCCUGGAUUCAGCGGCGGACGGGUGAGUAAUGCCUAGGAAUCUGCCUGGUAGUGGGGGAUAACGUCCGGAAACGGGCGCUAAUACCGCAUACGUCCUGAGGGAGAAAGUGGGGGAUCUUCGGACCUCACGCUAUCAGAUGAGCCUAGGUCGGAUUAGCUAGUUGGUGGGGUAAAGGCCUACCAAGGCGACGAUCCGUAACUGGUCUGAGAGGAUGAUCAGUCACACUGGAACUGAGACACGGUCCAGACUCCUACGGGAGGCAGCAGUGGGGAAUAUUGGACAAUGGGCGAAAGCCUGAUCCAGCCAUGCCGCGUGUGUGAAGAAGGUCUUCGGAUUGUAAAGCACUUUAAGUUGGGAGGAAGGGCAGUAAGUUAAUACCUUGCUGUUUUGACGUUACCAACAGAAUAAGCACCGGCUAACUUCGUG
RNAcentral lists this ribosomal RNA (484 nucleotides) under uncultured bacterium. RNAcentral's name for it is "partial 16S ribosomal RNA". It matches the Rfam family "Bacterial small subunit ribosomal RNA", at positions 30 to 507 of the family's 1533-position model. The record is from RNAcentral.